GGUCUAGCCAAUUUGUUUAUAGAGACAUAUGGCGUUAUAUUUGUUGCAGGAGUGGCACUG
Molecule: transfer RNA, 60 nt
Filed under: Condylostoma magnum
Lineage: Eukaryota; Ciliophora; Heterotrichea; Heterotrichida; Condylostomatidae
Source: RNAcentral